UGGAAGGGGGGAUCGGUGAGGAAGAAGCACCCCGCAGGACACGGUUCCCGCUUGGAAGGGGGGGUGGGGGACGGACAGAGCACACCGCAGGGCAGGUUUCCCGCUUGGAAGGGGGGGUGGGGGACGGACAGAGCACACCGCAGGGCAGGUUUCACGCUUGGAAGGGGGGGUGGGGGACGGACAGAGCACACCGCAGGGCAGGUUUCACGCUUGGAAGGGGGGGUGGGGGACGGACAGAGCACACCGCAGGGCAGGUUUCCCGCUUGGAAGGGGGGGUGGGGGACGGACAGAGCACACCGCAGGGCAGGUUUCCCGCUUGGAAGGGGGGGUGGGGGACGGACAGAGCACCCCGCAGGACACGGUUCCCGCUUGGAAGGGGGGGUGGGGGACGGACAGAGCACACCGCAGGGCAGGUUUCACGCUUGGAAGGGGGGGUGGGGGACGGACAGAGCACACCGCAGGGCAGGUUUCCCGCUUGGAAGGGGGGGUGGGGGACGGACAGAGCACACCGCAGGGCAGGUUUCCCGCUUGGAAGGGGGGGUGGGGGACGGAC
Molecule: long non-coding RNA, 553 nt
Organism: Gopherus flavomarginatus (Mexican gopher tortoise)
Lineage: Eukaryota; Metazoa; Chordata; Testudines; Testudinidae
Exons: 3
Source: RefSeq, a predicted model, not a curated record